Molecule: long non-coding RNA, 502 nt
Organism: Artibeus jamaicensis (Jamaican fruit-eating bat)
Lineage: Eukaryota; Metazoa; Chordata; Mammalia; Chiroptera; Phyllostomidae
Exons: 3
Source: RefSeq, a predicted model, not a curated record
GAGGAAGACGAGAAACACAGAAGCAGCAGGGUUUGGGACUCUGGCACCAAGACAGGAAGCGGUGGCAUCCGGUGGUCCCUGCAGAAAUUGGCUCAAAGCCCCUCAUUUAAGAACAUGAGCAGUCUUUGCAUUUUUCCCCGUGCUCAAGUGUUGGAGACUUCUGAAGACUGUGCUCGUGUGAGCCCUGACGUGAGCCUUGGAGGCUGAGACGUCCGAUUAAAGAGGGCUGUCGCAGCCGCUGUGCCGCCAGCCGCGGGCUCGCUUGCCGAAAGCCAGGCCACUGCCACCCCAGCCCCUGCUCCAGGACCCUUUGUUUUAGAAACUGAGGUUGAUUUCAACGACUGACCAUUUGGGCCACUGUUUUUUUCCCUCCAGCACUUUAAAUUCACCAGUGAAAUGACCCAACAUACCCUAGGCCCUGAUCUGGACCCUAAUAAAAACAGAGCCCCUCUCUCUUUCUCUCUGUAUGACCUCACCAUGUGCCCCCAGGUCUGCCAUGUAA